This 17-nucleotide ribosomal RNA is filed under the name Russula cooperiana. Its description in RNAcentral is "partial 28S ribosomal RNA". The record is from RNAcentral. Lineage: Eukaryota; Fungi; Basidiomycota; Agaricomycetes; Russulales; Russulaceae.
ACCUGACCUCAAAUCGG